AAGUCGUAACAAGGUUUCCGUAGGUGAACCUGCGGAAGGAUCAUUAACAAGUAUCCAAACGUAAAACCCCCCCGUGAACAAUAUCCGCUUAUCUCCUGACGCUUGCAGCGACUUCCUUGCCCUGUACAUUUUUGUAGCGAGUGAUAGUGGGAUCUCUGUUCUCCGGUGUCUGUCAGUGUCACCGGAAUGCACAGUUAACUGACCGUUUGUGACUGCAAUGAGGACAAACCAGAUCGUUCUGGCCACACGCCAGAAAUUUUCGGACGAGCAACUGGCGGGGCGCAUUGCCCACUGAGGGGCGUUAACGCUGAAUUCCCAAUUCGCCUCAAAACCGAACAACUGUUAACAAUGGAUAUCUUGGUUCUC
RNAcentral lists this unclassified non-coding RNA (366 nucleotides) under fungal sp. RNAcentral's name for it is "partial internal transcribed spacer region". The stretch from base 1 to 46 matches the Rfam family "Eukaryotic small subunit ribosomal RNA", at positions 1786 to 1831 of the family's 1831-position model. Lineage: Eukaryota; Fungi. The record is from RNAcentral.